UACGUAGGGACCGAGCGUUGUCCGGAAUCAUUGGGCGUAAAGAGCGUGUAGGCGGUUUGGUAGGUCCGCUGUGAAAACUCGAGGCUCAACCUCGAGACGCCGGUGGAAACCAUCAGGCUAGAGUCCGGAAGAGGAGAGUGGAAUUCCUGGUGUAGCGGUGAAAUGCGCAGAUAUCAGGAAGAACACCCGUGGCUAAGGCGGCUCUCUAGUACGGUACUGACGCUGCGACGCGAAAGCGUGGGGAGCGAACAGG
Molecule: ribosomal RNA, 253 nt
Filed under: uncultured bacterium
Lineage: Bacteria
Description: partial 16S ribosomal RNA
Rfam family: Bacterial small subunit ribosomal RNA
Source: RNAcentral